This 330-nucleotide ribosomal RNA is filed under the name uncultured bacterium. RNAcentral's name for it is "bacterial SSU rRNA". It matches the Rfam family "Bacterial small subunit ribosomal RNA", at positions 28 to 356 of the family's 1533-position model. The record is from RNAcentral.
GACGAACGCUGGCGGCGUGCCUAACACAUGCAAGUCAAGGGGCAGCAAUGGAGCAAUCUGUUGCUGCCACUGGCGCACGGGUGAGUAACGCGUAGGUAACCUGCCCUCAGCCCUGCAAUAACCCCGGGAAACUGGGGCUAAUGGCAGAUGAGGUCGGUGGGGGAAGUUCCCACCGAUCAAAGGGGCAACCCGGCUGAGGAUGGGCCUGCGUCCUAUCAGGUAGUUGGUGGGGUAACGGCCCACCAAGCCGACGACGGGUAGCUGGCCUGAGAGGGUGGUCAGCCACACCGGCACUGAGACACGGGCCGGACUCCUACGGGAGGCAGUAUG